RNAcentral lists this non-coding RNA (49 nucleotides) under Schistosoma mattheei. The record is from RNAcentral. Lineage: Eukaryota; Metazoa; Platyhelminthes; Trematoda; Strigeidida; Schistosomatidae.
AUCCAGCUGAUGAGUCCUGAAAUAGGACGAAACGCGCGUCAAACUAGAU